UGAGGCGUGGCUUCCGGAGCUAACGCGUUAAGUCGACCGCCUGGGGAGUACGGCCGCAAGGUUAAAACUCAAAUGAAUUGACGGGGGCCCGCACAAGCGGUGGAGCAUGUGGUUUAAUUCGAUGCAACGCGAAGAACCUUACCUACUCUUGACAUCCAGAGAACUUUCCAGAGAUGGAUUGGUGCCUUCGGGAACUCUGAGACAGGUGCUGCAUGGCUGUCGUCAGCUCGUGUUGUGAAAUGUUGGGUUAAGUCCCGCAACGAGCGCAACCCUUAUCCUUUGUUGCCAGCGGUCCGGCCGGGAACUCAAAGGAGACUGCCAGUGAUAAACUGGAGGAAGGUGGGGAUGACGUCAAGUCAUCAUGGCCCUUACGAGUAGGGCUACACACGUGCUACAAUGGCGCAUACAAAGAGAAGCGACCUCGCGAGAGCAAGCGGACCUCAUAAAGUGCGUCGUAGUCCGGAUUGGAGUCUGCAACUCGACUCCAUGAAGUCGGAAUCGCUAGUAAUCGUAGAUCAGAAUGCUACGGUGAAUACGUUCCCGGGCCUUGUACACACCGCCCGUCACACCAUGGGAGUGGGUUGCAAAAGAAGUAGGUAGCUUAACCUUCGGGAGGGCGCUUACCACUUUGUGAUUCAUGACUGGGGUGAAGUCGUAACAAGGUAACCGUAGGGGAACCUGCGGUUGGAUCACCUCCUUA
RNAcentral lists this ribosomal RNA (700 nucleotides) under Enterobacter asburiae. Its description in RNAcentral is "bacterial SSU rRNA". It matches the Rfam family "Bacterial small subunit ribosomal RNA", at positions 833 to 1533 of the family's 1533-position model. The record is from RNAcentral. Lineage: Bacteria; Pseudomonadati; Pseudomonadota; Gammaproteobacteria; Enterobacterales; Enterobacteriaceae.